UCCAAGUCGCUGUGGGAGAGCUCUAUUGAACCGGGUGUCCGAAUCAUCGAUUCCCGUUCCACCUAGCCGACCAGAGGCAAUUUUGAGAGGCUCACUGUCCGUGAUCCAACAAAGUCCUAGAAGGAUGGCACAGACUGGCUUUUCCAGCUGCUUCGGGGCAGGAAAACUUCCUGGCCAGUAAACAGCGGACGGUGGAUUCCUCAGGAGACGAAUCCUGUAUCUGUGGAAAUAUGAGCGACGCGUCAAAUCCCACCUUGUCUUUACUGUAGCUGUUCUCACCACGUGGAGUGCCUUUUCCAUCCUCAGUUCCACGAAUGGAAAACUGUUCUCCGAGGCUCUACUCAAAUACCACGUCCUCCAAGGAAUCGCUGCCAGGCCGCCUAGCCCGGAAGUCCUCUUCCUCUGAACUUGCUCCAGGUCAGAACAGUCGUUGACAUUGAUCCUGACCUGGCGGGAGCACACGUCGCACACUGGGCAGCUUUAUGAGAGCAGAGGUUGUGAGAGCCGAUUCUGAUCUCAGAACGGAGUUGGGAGAGACUGGCCUCAACUGGAAAGGACGGCUGGAAGGCACUGGGACUGAGGAUAACGCCCUGGGAAACGGGUAGACACGGCACGAAUAGGGAUUACGUGGAGGGUGGCCUCGUGGAACCCAGCGACAGCAGAAGGAGAGGGUGCCCCAGGCCCUGGAGAAAGGGUUCGGAGGAGAGGGAGGCGGGGCUCUUGGGGGAGAGCGGAAAUGCUGCGC
Long non-coding RNA from Alexandromys fortis (reed vole), 745 nucleotides. RefSeq lists it as uncharacterized. The transcript is spliced from 3 exons. The record is from RefSeq and is a predicted model, not a curated record. Lineage: Eukaryota; Metazoa; Chordata; Mammalia; Rodentia; Cricetidae.